This 497-nucleotide ribosomal RNA is filed under the name uncultured bacterium. RNAcentral describes it as "partial 16S ribosomal RNA". It matches the Rfam family "Bacterial small subunit ribosomal RNA", at positions 28 to 507 of the family's 1533-position model. The record is from RNAcentral.
GAUGAACGCUGGCGGCGUGCCUAACACAUGCAAGUCGAACGAACGGACGAGAAGCUUGCUUCUUUGAUGUUAGCGGCGGACGGGUGAGUAACACGUGGAUAACCUACCUAUAAGACUGGGAUAACUUCGGGAAACCGUAGCUAAUACCGGAUAAUAUUUUGAACCGCAGGGUUCAAAAGAGAAAGACGGCUUUGCUGUCUGUAAUAGCUGGAUCCGCGCUGCAUUAGCUAGUUGGUAAGGUAACGGCUUACCAAGGCUACGAUGCAUAGCCGACCUGAGAGGGUGAUCGGCCACACUGGAACUGAGACACGGUCCAGACUCCUACGGGAGGCAGCAGUCGGGAAUCUUCCGCAAUGGGCGAAAGCCUGACGGAGCAACGCCGCGUGAGUGAUGAAGGUCUUCGGAUCGUAAAACUCUGUUAUUAGGGAAGAACAUAUGUGUAAGUAACUGUGCACAUCUUGACGGUACCUAAUCAGAAAGCCACGGCUAACUACGUG